Phascolarctos cinereus (koala) is the source of this 3166-nucleotide long non-coding RNA. RefSeq lists it as uncharacterized. The record is from RefSeq and is a predicted model, not a curated record. NCBI's taxonomy places the organism in Eukaryota, Metazoa, Chordata, Mammalia, Diprotodontia, Phascolarctidae.
CCCUCCUCCCUUUCUCCUUCCCUCCCUUCCUUCCUUCCUCUCUCCCUCCUUCCCUCCUCCCUUCCCUCCUUCCCCGCGCCCUUGGUCGGGUUCGCAGCGGGAGGAAGCCACCUCUAGGAUGAAGCCGAACAGGAGGAGGACCGACGUGUGGCCGCGAGCGCUCCUGGAAGCGGGGCUGCCUGGGCUUACUCCGAAGGAAGGUUGAAGAUGCCAUUAAAGUUCUUGAGUGCCAUCAACCUGCACAAACCGAGUAUUUGGAAAAAUUGAAGUCGGGCUGCUCACCAACCAAUGGAAAUUCCAUGUUUCCCACCCUUCCAGACAACAAUUCUUGCAUUCUCUUGGUCUUCUUUGACAUGAUGGGCUGUUAAGCAAACGGAAUUAAAAAAUACUGUCAAGCUGUGCAACCAUUCACACAUUCCACUUCAAUCAGAAACACAGUGUACCUUUGUCUAAAGCUGAUAACAGACUGGCAUACUCGACACCCAUAAACUCUCAUCAACCAGCCUGAUGUGGUAGUGGCACCAGUUGCGGGAAUAGGGAGGCGGAGAGAGUUGGAACUAAAUAGCGAGUGUAGCAGCCUUCAGUUUAGCCCUGAUGGCUUACUAACGUUCUAAUUGGGGCAGUCAACCUGGGAGGAUCAUUUCAUUGCAACUUAUUUUGUUCUUUGACAUUUUAAAUACAUUCAUUUAAAAAAUAAAACAAAAAUAUAAAAGGUGAAUGAAAAUGUAUUAAUAAAAAUGCAAGGUUUUGCUCUGUAAAUUUUGGAUUCAAUCAGAAGGUUGUGCUUAAGGACCUAGAGGGCAACUGGUUCCCUACCUCAUUCCUAAGUAGGAAUCAUCUAAUCUGUGAGCAUCAGAAUGGGGUUAUGGUUGAGCAUUUGAGGGUUUGAGCAGUAACUGUGGGGAAUGAAAUAGGGGGUUACUAAAGGAAGAGCUGAACAAUCAUUAAGCAGCAGUGAAACCCAGAAGCUAAGUGCCAUAAAUUGUAAAAGGAUAAAAUGACCCUAGUGCAAAAAUGAUAUUCUUUGGCUUUACUUACACCACAACUGUUGUGCUGAUAAAAAAACCAAAAAACAAAAAAAAACAGUCAAUACUCGUGAAGGGCAUUCUAUAAGCUGAAGCUAAAGUAAACAAUUGUUCAAGUAUUAUCUUUCAUUGUCUGUCACAGUAGAUGUCCUAGAACAAGCAAAAGCAACCUGAAAUUUUCCAUGAAAGCACUGGGUAAAAUUAUAAUACAGUGGGCCACAACGAAGAUGAUUUCUUUUCAUAUAGGCUGACUCAACAAAUGUGUGUGGUUGGGAUGUAAGCUCUUUGAGCACAACUCAAGGUAUUUUACUUUUGCCAUUUUAUCUCUAGAACCUAGAAUUAUUUCUUGGCACAUAAGAAACGUUUUGGCUGAUAAUUUUGAAUGACUCUCAUCAAAAAGGUCUGUGUGGGGGGACCCAGCCUGAAUAGGAAGAACUGAACCCCAAGGAAUUCCUGCUUUUCUAGUUUCUUGUCCCAGUCACCACUGGCUUUAGGAAGCAGCACAGGUGGGUUCUGUGAGAGGCUGUGAUUUAGCACCAUUUGCGAUUAUCUGUCAAAUGACCAUCUCUAGUUAGCUUCUGUCACUUAUCAUUCUUCUGCAUCAAAUACCAUUUGCCAACCUUGUAAGGUAGAGGUAGAGACCACUACGUGACUUGUCCAAUCUUGCACAGCUAAUAAUUACAUGAGAUCAGAUGUGAAUUUAGCUUUUUCUGACUUAAGUUCAGGGCUCUAACCACUACAUCAAGCUAUUUCUCAUUAUGAGCAGGUUUAUGUCCACAUUUCAGGAAAUUGAAGGUCAGAAAGAUUAGGUCACAGAGUUGGUAAAUAUAAACAUUAGAAUUCCAUCCUAGGUCUCAUCUACAAGUUUUUAGACUACUUUUGGCUGUAUCAUAAGGCAUACUUUACCUGCCAGAAGGAAAGGGGAUGAGCCAGAUGGUCUCUCGACCUAAAGGCUAAAUCUUAGGGUGUGGUCAUAAUGACACACAGGUUUGGCUAUACAAACCUUAAAUAUGGAGCAGCAUAACACUGUGUUCUACAAUUUUAGAGAAUGGUUUUGUGACUCUUGCCAGUGAAGUGUCUGUGCAUGGAUUUGUAUAAAUACACCCCUACAGGUAAGAGGGAUUGGCACCUCUGUCUUUGAACCAGGUUUACAAAGUGCUUGUGUUUCAGUCCUCUUUCAGAGUAAGAAAUCAUUUUGUCUUUGAAUCAGAGGAUCACCGAUUUUGAGCUAGAAGGGAUCUUAGAGCUCCUUUAUUUUACAGAGGAGGAAACUGAGCCUCAGAGAUGUUAAUUUACUUCUGCAUCUUCAGACAGUGAGUAAACAUGAGAGGCAACAUUCAAACCCACAUCUUCUUAAAUCUCACACUCUAACACAUAUAUACCCUGUAUUUGAUCCAAAAAAGAACCAAACUCAUACUUUCUAGAUAGCUUUACCUUUUGCAACUAAUUAGUUUUAUAGAAUUAUUUUCUCAAAAGAAACACGACAGCUGUAGAUAGGUAAUAGCUCAAACCAGUUUAUUUACUUGUCUGUAAUGACUUUUCUAAUGUAUUCCCUUGAGGAAAUUCUCCUUACUCAUGAAUCUGUGUAAGGUUGUACUAUGUAAUCUGUGUACUCAUGAUCUGUGUAAGGUUGAGAGCAUCUGAAUCUCUGUUCUAGAGCAAAAUAUCACAUAUUGCCUCUUCUAGCUGACUAUGUGAUAGCUGGUAAUCACAAGUGCUAAGAGGUAUUCUUUCAUUAGUUACUGAUUAUUGUUCACUUUCCUUCUGCAAGAUCAUGAACGGAUAUUUCCUUCCUGCUCAAAGAGUCCUCUCAUUUAGCAAAUUAGUUCAGCCUCCCAUAAGCGAAAUGGGGAAAAUGCAAACAUUUCUUUGUCUUUGCUAAUGCAGCUUUCUUUCUGUCAGUAGUUGGUGCUCAGAAAACCUCUUAAGCUACAACUUCAGGACAAGUUCCGUAAAAUCAGUGAAUCCUUUCAAAAAAUCUAUGGAUAAGAAAAUUACACAAAAAUGUUUAUUACACUGUUGAAAAUGUUUGGAAUCCAAAAUUUACUGUUUUACACAAAGGUUAUUAGCAGUUCUUCUGGUUAUUAAAAAGAUUUGUUAAAAAACAUCUGUAUCUUGUGGUUUGAGGCAGACAGUUUUUC